GGUUAAGCGACUAAGCGUACACGGUGGAUGCCCUGGCAGUCAGAGGCGAUGAAGGACGUGCUAAUCUGCGAUAAGCGCCGGUAAGGUGAUAUGAACCGUUAUAACCGGCGAUUUCCGAAUGGGGAAACCCAGUGUGAUUUGUCACACUAUCAUUACGUGAAUACAUAGCGUAAUGAAGCGAACCGGGGGAACUGAAACAUCUAAGUACCCCGAGGAAAAGAAAUCAACCGAGAUUCCCCCAGUAGCGGCGAGCGAACGGGGAGGAGCCCAGAGCCUGAAUCAGCAUGUGUGUUAGUGGAAGCGUCUGGAAAGGCGCGCGAUACAGGGUGACAGCCCCGUACACAAAAGCGCAUGUGUUGUGAGCUCGAUGAGUAGGGCGGGACACGUGGUAUCCUGUCUGAAUAUGGGGGGACCAUCCUCCAAGGCUAAAUACUCCUGACUGACCGAUAGUGAACCAGUACCGUGAGGGAAAGGCGAAAAGAACCCCGGCGAGGGGAGUGAAAAAGAACCUGAAACCGUGUACGUACAAGCAGUGGGAGCCCCACCACUAAGCCAGUGGUGAACUCCACAUACGCAUCCUUUGCUGAGGAUACGGUUAACGGAGCGAAAGCGACGUUCAACCGCAAAAGAAGCAGAGGGGGCUUAGUGGUGGGGUGACUGCGUACCUUUUGUAUAAUGGGUCAGCGACUUAUAUUCUGUAGCAAGGUUAACCGAAUAGGGGAGCCG
Molecule: ribosomal RNA, 726 nt
Filed under: Salmonella enterica
Lineage: Bacteria; Pseudomonadati; Pseudomonadota; Gammaproteobacteria; Enterobacterales; Enterobacteriaceae
Description: partial 23S ribosomal RNA
Rfam family: Bacterial large subunit ribosomal RNA
Source: RNAcentral